UAGAACCUAGAUCCCACACAUGUGCCAUUCACAAUAGGCUUCAUGCUCCUAUGAGAAUCUAAUGCCACUGCUGAUCUAACAGAGGCAGAGCUCAGAUGGUAAUGUGAGUGACAGAGAGUGGCUGUAAAUACAGAUGAAGCUUCACUUGCUCACCCACCACUCACCUCCUGCUGUGUAGCCUGGUUCCUAACAGGCCAUGAUUGGUACCAGUCUGUGACCCAGGGUUUUGGGGACCCUGAUCUAAAACUUCUACCUACCCACACAAAUGCUAUAAUAAAAAGACCCAAAAUAUCAUGGCUUAAACAUGAUAGUUUAUUUUUUUCUUUCACAUAACCAUGCAAAUAUAAGUACUCUGGGGCUACCAUGGUAGACUUUAGUUGUUCUCCCUUCUUCAAGGAAGUAGUCCUUGUCUUGAA
Molecule: long non-coding RNA, 416 nt
Organism: Sapajus apella (tufted capuchin)
Lineage: Eukaryota; Metazoa; Chordata; Mammalia; Primates; Cebidae
Exons: 3
Source: RefSeq, a predicted model, not a curated record